GAAGUUGUGCUGCACCCGACACGAUUGGUUCUUUUAGUUUUUGAACCCGCCUUCAGUCCUUUUUAAAGGCAGGGUUUUAACAAAGAAGAGGGCGGAAAACCAAAUGAGUAAUCAGAGUGCAGGAGUAAGGAUGCUAGCUGGGUAGCCGAACGGAGCAAGUGGCUGCAGAGUGACAAAACGAAAUCGAGCCGGAACGGUGUUUGCAGGACAACGCCUGGCAUCCAUUCACUACUCUAAGGAUCGAAUUAACAUGCCCUGAAAUAACUCCAGUGUCAUGAAAACACAUCUUCAUCUUUUCAGUCAACUUGCUGCUCGCCUUGUUGUUUGACUGAAGCAACGUAAUGACAAUAAUCAUGAACUCUGCCCCUGGCCCUGCUCGGCUCUGAGUCAGAUUCAGAUUAAGAGUUUCACAGUUUGGUU
Molecule: long non-coding RNA, 420 nt
Organism: Acipenser ruthenus (sterlet)
Lineage: Eukaryota; Metazoa; Chordata; Actinopteri; Acipenseriformes; Acipenseridae
Exons: 3
Source: RefSeq, a predicted model, not a curated record